CUGGCUCAGGAUGAACGCUAGCGACAGGCCUAACACAUGCAAGUCGAGGGGCAGCGCGGGAGAAGCUUGCUUUCCUGGCGGCGACCGGCGCACGGGUGCGUAACAGGUGUGCAAUCUGUCCAUAGUCGGGGGAUAGCCCAGCGAAAGCUGAAUUAACACUCCAUGUGAAUCGAAGCCGCAUGACUUUGAUUUGAAACGCAAGGACUAUGGGUGAGCACGCUUCUGAUUAGCUAGUUGGUGGGGUAACGGCUCACCAAGGCAACGAUCAGUAGGGUUCUGAGAGGAAGGUCCCCCACAUUGGAACUGAGACACGGUCCAAACUCCUACGGGAGGCAGCAGUGAGGAAUAUUGGUCAAUGGGCGAGGGCCUGAACCAGCCAAGUCGCGUAGGAAGGAUGAAGGUUCUAUGGAUUGUAACUUCUUUUGUCCGAGGGUAAAAGAGGCCACGUGUGGCUUCUUGCAAGUAUCGGACGAAUAAGCAUCGGCUAACUCCGUGCCAGCCGCGGC
This 506-nucleotide ribosomal RNA is filed under the name uncultured bacterium. RNAcentral's name for it is "bacterial SSU rRNA". It matches the Rfam family "Bacterial small subunit ribosomal RNA", at positions 19 to 518 of the family's 1533-position model. The record is from RNAcentral.